Molecule: long non-coding RNA, 1302 nt
Organism: Austrofundulus limnaeus
Lineage: Eukaryota; Metazoa; Chordata; Actinopteri; Cyprinodontiformes; Rivulidae
Exons: 2
Source: RefSeq, a predicted model, not a curated record
UCAGGGUCUGUAUACCGAGUCAGGGUCUGUCUGGAGGAUCAGAGUCUGUAUACAGAGUCAGGGUCUGUAUAGAGGGUCAGUGUCUGUAUAGGGGGUCAAGGUCUGUAUACCGAGUCAGGGUCUGUAUAGAGGGUCAGGGUCUGUAUACAGAGUCAGGGUCUGUAUAGAGGGUCAGUGUCUGUAUAGAGGGUCAGAGUCUGUAGAGAGGGUCAGUUCUGUAUAGAGGGUCAGAGUCUGUAUAGAUGGUCAGUUCUGUAUAGAGGGUCAGAGUCUGUAGAGAGGGUCAGUUCUGUAUAGAGGGUCAGAGUCUGUAUAGAUGGUCAGUUCUGUAUAGAGGGUCAGAGUCUGUAGAGAGGGUCAGAGUCUGUAGAGAGGGUCAGUUCUGUAUAGAGGGUCAGAGUCUGUAGAGAGGGUCAGAGUCUGUAGAGAGGGUCAGUUCUGUAUAGAGGGUCAGAGUCUGUAGAGAGGGUCAGAGUCUGUAGAGAGGGUCAGUUCUGUAUAGAGGGUCAGAGUCUGUAUAGAGGGUCAGGGUCUGUAUAGAGGGUCAGGGUCUGUAUAGAAGUUUUAGUGGAAACCUCCUGGCUGUUUUUGUGCUGCAGCAUGUUUAAACUACAGAAAGCAGAGCUUACCGCAGUAACAGAAGCAUCAGCUCUAUCGGUGCAGGUGCAGACCCAGUUUAAAAACUGCUCUGACCUCCAUAUAUUUGCUCAUGAAGGACCAGAUGUGCAGAAGAAUGAGGGAUUAGAGAAGAGAUUGGACACAUUUCUGCUUUGGGGAAAAGAGAAUGUAAAUUUUUCGUCAUGUUUUAAUGACCAGCAUAGUGAGAGGAAGGAAGUUUUAUUCCACUGAGGGUUUUGGUCACUCAGCAGACACGCCUGUUUACUCCUCAGCCUUCUUUAGGCUGCUGCCUGCAGAAACACAGCCAUGGUCCUGACCUCACUAACCAGCCGGAGCCAAGGAAAACACUCCUGGGUGUCGCAGCAUGGCUAUGGAAACUGGAAAGAAAAGCAGCGUGGAAUUUGGUUGUCCAUGUGCUGACCUCACAGAUAACCAUUGUUUUUCUUCUGCCUGUCAUAAAUCCUGCAGUCUUCCUCAGUAAAACCAUCCUCCUGCUCCACUCCAGAUGUGCUUCAGAACCUUUCUGGGUCACAGAGAACCAGAAACACACAAAGAUGCAGAAAACUCACCAACCAGCAGAACUUCACUGACUCUUUAAAAUUAGUUUCCUUUAUUAAUGCUGCCAGUGGACCCUUAUUAACUGACCUGCAGCUUAAAACACACACACACACACACACACACACA